RNAcentral lists this ribosomal RNA (253 nucleotides) under uncultured bacterium. Its description in RNAcentral is "partial 16S ribosomal RNA". It matches the Rfam family "Bacterial small subunit ribosomal RNA", at positions 524 to 776 of the family's 1533-position model. The record is from RNAcentral.
UACGGAGGAUGCAAGCGUUAUCCGGAUUUAUUAGGUUUAAAGGGUGCGUAGGCGGAAUAAUAAGUCAGUGGUGAAAUCCUGCAGCUUAACUGUAGAACUGCCAUUGAAACUGCUAUUCUUGAGUCUAGUUGAAGUGGGCGGAAUGUGUCAUGUAGCGGUGAAAUGCAUAGAUAUGACACAGAACACCGAUUGCGUAGGCAGCUCACUAGACUACAACUGACGCUGAGGCACGAAAGCGUGGGGAUCAAACAGG